CUUACCCUGUGAAUCGGAGAAGUCUCUUUGAUACACACUUCUCGUUUCACAGGGUAUAUU
This 60-nucleotide microRNA precursor is filed under the name Nautilus pompilius. RNAcentral describes it as "Npo-Mir-10-P6_pre stem-loop". The record is from RNAcentral. Lineage: Eukaryota; Metazoa; Mollusca; Cephalopoda; Nautilida; Nautilidae.